AAUGGGUCAGCGACUUAUAUUCUGUAGCAAGGUUAACCGAAUAGGGGAGCCGAAGGGAAACCGAGUCUUAACUGGGCGUUAAGUUGCAGGGUAUAGACCCGAAACCCGGUGAUCUAGCCAUGGGCAGGUUGAAGGUUGGGUAACACUAACUGGAGGACCGAACCGACUAAUGUUGAAAAAUUAGCGGAUGACUUGUGGCUGGGGGUGAAAGGCCAAUCAAACCGGGAGAUAGCUGGUUCUCCCCGAAAGCUAUUUAGGUAGCGCCUCGUGAAUUCAUCUCCGGGGGUAGAGCACUGUUUCGGCAAGGGGGUCAUCCCGACUUACCAACCCGAUGCAAACUGCGAAUACCGGAGAAUGUUAUCACGGGAGACACACGGCGGGUGCUAACGUCCGUCGUGAAGAGGGAAACAACCCAGACCGCCAGCUAAGGUCCCAAAGUCAUGGUUAAGUGGGAAACGAUGUGGGAAGGCCCAGACAGCCAGGAUGUUGGCUUAGAAGCAGCCAUCAUUUAAAGAAAGCGUAAUAGCUCACUGGUCGAGUCGGCCUGCGCGGAAGAUGUAACGGGGCUAAACCAUGCACCGAAGCUGCGGCAGCGACGCUUAUGCGUUGUUGGGUAGGGGAGCGUUCUGUAAGCCUGUGAAGGUGUGCUGUGAGGCAUGCUGGAGGUAUCAGAAGUGCGAAUGCUGACAUAAGUAACGAUAAAGCGGGUGAAAAGCCCGCUCGCCGGAAGACCAAGGGUUCCUGUCCAACGUUAAUCGGGGCAGGGUGAGUCGACCCCUAAGGCGAGGCCGAAAGGCGUAGUCGAUGGGAAACAGGUUAAUAUUCCUGUACUUGGUGUUACUGCGAAGGGGGGACGGAGAAGGCUAUGUUGGCCGGGCGACGGUUGUCCCGGUUUAAGCGUGUAGGCUGGUUUUCCAGGCAAAUCCGGAAAAUCAAGGCUGAGGCGUGAUGACGAGGCACUACGGUGCUGAAGCAACAAAUGCCCUGCUUCCAGGAAAAGCCUCUAAGCAUCAGGUAACAUCAAAUCGUACCCCAAACCGACACAGGUGGUCAGGUAGAGAAUACCAAGGCGCUUGAGAGAACUCGGGUGAAGGAACUAGGCAAAAUGGUGCCGUAACUUCGGGAGAAGGCACGCUGAUAUGUAGGUGAAGUCCCUCGCGGAUGGAGCUGAAAUCAGUCGAAGAUACCAGCUGGCUGCAACUGUUUAUUAAAAACACAGCACUGUGCAAACACGAAAGUGGACGUAUACGGUGUGACGCCUGCCCGGUGCCGGAAGGUUAAUUGAUGGGGUCAGCGCAAGCGAAGCUCUUGAUCGAAGCCCCGGUAAACGGCGGCCGUAACUAUAACGGUCCUAAGGUAGCGAAAUUCCUUGUCGGGUAAGUUCCGACCUGCACGAAUGGCGUAAUGAUGGCCAGGCUGUCUCCACCCGAGACUCAGUGAAAUUGAACUCGCUGUGAAGAUGCAGUGUACCCGCGGCAAGACGGAAAGACCCCGUGAACCUUUACUAUAGCUUGACACUGAACAUUGAGCCUUGAUGUGUAGGAUAGGUGGGAGGCUUAGAAGUGUGGACGCCAGUCUGCAUGGAGCCGACCUUGAAAUACCACCCUUUAAUGUUUGAUGUUCUAACGUUGACCCGUAAUCCGGGUUGCGGACAGUGUCUGGUGGGUAGUUUGACUGGGGCGGUCUCCUCCUAA
This 1694-nucleotide ribosomal RNA is filed under the name Escherichia coli. RNAcentral's name for it is "partial 23S ribosomal RNA". It matches the Rfam family "Bacterial large subunit ribosomal RNA", at positions 614 to 2293 of the family's 2925-position model. The record is from RNAcentral. Lineage: Bacteria; Pseudomonadati; Pseudomonadota; Gammaproteobacteria; Enterobacterales; Enterobacteriaceae.